ACAAUAAGUGAUGACAUAUUGACACCGCUUGAGAAACACCACCGUCUCUUUCUACGGCUGUUUAGUCCCUAAUUGAUAAUGGAAAAGGGCACUAUGGAGAGACAUCAAAUACAUAGUAUUGAUCCAACUGUCGACAAUCCAUUUAAGAUACUAUCAAAAUUACAGCACCGGUAAUCUGAAUUUGGGAUUCAUUUCAUACACUGAAGUUGGUAACUUUCUUCUUUUUUCCAUGAUCGAAAACUAAAAGAUAAAAGAAGUCCUCACAUGGUGAAAGAAGCUCGUGAUAAGAAUAUCAAAAUUGUGGGAUCUAUUAUCAUAUGACAAUGCCUUAGAAAGAAGCAUUGUUGUUGCAACAACACCUCAACUGUAGAGAGGCAACAGAAAAUCAUCUUCUUGCAAACACAAAUCAUGUCACCUCCAUAUCAAAUGCAGGGUGGUUGGAACAUUGUCCUUAUUGCUUGCUCAAUCUCCCAAGCUACACAAAUACUGGUCUUACACAUGCUCACCGUGUUUAUUGUAGUUGGUAAAUAUCUUAAUUAUGAUAUUUACUUGCUUUUGUUUGCCCUCUAACAUACUAUUGAUAUGCCUAUCACCUCUGUUGAGUUCAAAAUUGAGUAGUGUGCAGUUAAUAAUAGUAAUCAUAAUAAAACAGUCAUAUAUUCUUCGACGGAGACUAAAUUUCUAAAUUUUACUGUUGUAAAUACAUAAAAAGUUAUGGUGACCAUGAGUUUUUUCAUUUUUUUUUA
Molecule: long non-coding RNA, 746 nt
Organism: Nicotiana tabacum (common tobacco)
Lineage: Eukaryota; Viridiplantae; Streptophyta; Magnoliopsida; Solanales; Solanaceae
Source: RefSeq, a predicted model, not a curated record